UAGAGGGUCCCAAGCAGGGUGGACAUAGCCAUUGGAAUCUGGAGGAGGUUGAUGCUUCCAUAUCUCAAGCUGUGGAAGGUAUCUGGGAGAGGACUUGGUAAAGUUUCUGCCAUGCAGAGUUCAAAUCCCCAGCCCCCACAUAAAGUCUAGGCAUGGCAGAGUCCAUUUAUAACCCAAGUGCUAUGGAAUGGAGACCACUGAAUCCCAGGAUUUCCUUGACCAGACAAGCCUAUCUAGUUAGUGUACUCUGGGUCCACUGAGAGACCGUGUCUUUAAAAAAAUAAAAAGUAAAAAUGUAAAGCAAUUGAGGAAGAGACCUGAUAGCCUAUAGCCUCCAUACCCACACCUACACUCAUGUGAGUAUGUUCGUGCAUGUGCGUGCACACACACACACACACACACACACACACACACACACACACACACAGCUACCUGGCCAGAUUCCAUGGUCAUGAUGCUCGAGGCUCCAGUAGAGAUUCCAAUCCUGGUUCUUAAUACUUCUCAAAUGUCCACAGUGGGAAUAGCCCAGUGAAUGCAGCAGAGCUGACCUGCAGCCCCAGAAAUGCUUCCUGAAGCAGAGAGGUGCUGAGGGGGCACCAGGGAAGCAUGCAAACAGAGAGAUUAAAUAAACAAUUUACACAGUGCUCUGUUAGAGCUCUAAAUCAGGUAGCCUGAAGCCCUGCUUGAGGCCUCUGACUCCAGAACACAGCCCUGCUGUGUAAAGGGUGCUCCAUCAACUGACAGUGAGGGAGGAGUAGAGUCCUAGGCAGGUAAAGGCCUUAAGGGAAGCCCCAGACAGGGGCCUUUUGGAAAUCAUUCCAGUCUACUCCUAACUUCCCAAGGCAGGUUAGAAAGGGGAGGAGUUUGGCCUUAAGAGAGGUGGGCAGGCAAGUGGCCCAAGAUAGGGAAAUUGUGUGACAUCAGUGUCCUCUCCAUCCACAACUGGAGGGGGAGGAGGGGAAUCCAGCCCGAAGACAUGGGAGCACCUGCCUGUCCAUCACCUGGGUGAGUGCCAGGCCUCACCUCCCAGCCAGAGACCAGGCUCCUAAUUAAUACCAACAGUCCAUCUCCACCAGAAGGCUGCAGGGCAGAGCAAGCAGCAGAGCCAGUGUGUGAGACCCAGCCUGCUAAAGACCCUCAAAUACCAAGGCCCACCUCCACAGACUUUCUCUCCUUUCCUGUUCGAUGUUCUCCAUGGCGGCCUCCAAAGCCAAUAGAAGCCUAAAGACCUACUGAAGGUGAUGCGCCCCUGAUGGUAGGAAGGAUACAGAGUUUUCAGGUAGCCAGCCUCCAGGAUGGGCCCUGCACCUACUAGAACUGAUGAUCCCCUAUCUACAGUCUUCACCCACGGAGCUUUUGUAAGUGAAAGAAGGUCCGAGUGACUUCCAAGGGUCAUUCACAUGAGACAUGGCCGCUUUAAUCCCGAGUCUCUGGAUCAGUGGUUGUGGGAGAAACCAGCCACCAUGUUGUGAGGAUACUCAAGCUGCCUGGAGAGUAUGAUCUAUGAACUGAGUCCUUCUGCCAAAGCCAGCACUAACUUGCCAGCUGUGUAAAUCCCAUCUCAGGUAAAUCCUGAGGCUCAGUCAAGCCUCAGGGAAUUGAAGCCCACAGGACACCUGGACCCCAAACACUUGGAAUGGCCCAGUUACUUUUGAUGGACACCAUGCUGAGUGACUCUCAGUCUUGCUUUGAAGACCAGUUCCAACACAGGUCAUUGAGGAAAAUGCUGGAUGUGCCACACAGGUAGAUGGUGUGGUGCCCAGAUGCAGCCAGGCACACAGCCACCUCCAGUAAUCACAAUGGCGGGAAGCCUGUGGGUGAUGGGUUCUGGCUUACUAUUCCUUUUGUGUCAUUUUGUGCCAGUGGGAGUUGAACCCAGGGCUAUGUGCAUGGUAGGCCAACGCUCUGACACUGGCGUACAUCUCCAGUCUUUAACCAUUGCUUUAAACUGCGAUGCUUUGGGGGAUAAAUUGUUAUACAGUGAUAGUUGACCUUAGCAGAUGCAAGCUCUGUCCUUUAAAUCCUGCUUUUGGAGCGGAGGUUCUCAACCUGUGGGUCACAACCGCUUUGGGGGUCCCAUAAAUUAGAUAUCCUGCAUAUUAGAAAUUUACAUUAUUGUUCAUAACCGCAGCAAAAUUACAGUUAUGAAGAAGCAACAUGGUUGGGGGUCACUACAACAUGAGGAAGUGUAUUAAAGGGUCAUAGCAUUAAGAGGGUUGAGAACCACUGUUUUAGAAGAAAGGAAACCGUGGGUAGAUGGCCAUGAUAAGCAAGGUGUGGUCAGAAACCAGUGCCCCCUAGCUUUCUGCAGGAGGCAGAUUGGCUCUGUUGUCACUGCUUGCAGAGACCUGGGAGGUGAGAAACCGUCCUGAAAAGCAGACUCCAUGCAAAGGGUUGUGCUUAAGCCAAGGGUGGGGGGUGGGGUGUGAUCCCCAGGAUCUGUGGCAAGAAAGAAUGAGUUAAAGUGCUUGCCCACCUCUGAUGGGCACAGUAGAACAUGGGGCCUAGGUAGGCUGGCACACGGAUUUACAAAGACCCAGGGCACCUGCUUUACUGUGUUUUUUAAGAGGAGGAAAUGGGCUCUUUUGCUCUCCUAACGGCCCGGCUGCUCUCUGAUUUUCACAGGUAAUGGGGCAGGAAAUUGCCCACAGUGAAUGAGCGAGACCUGUUACCUGUGGGUGGAAAUGGGUAAUGAGAAUUUAAACCCAAGCACAUCACCGGAUCACAUUAGGGAGCCAGCUAGCAAAAAUGAUUAGGAGGGUUUUAAUAUGCGCCGUUUGGAUGGAUAUCCAUCCCUGCAGCGACCUCAGGCUCAUUAGCCUAGCGUCCUGCACAGGCAAUCAGUCAUUUGUGCUUGCGGAGUGGCCUCCAUCCCAGAACUCUCGAGGGGUGCCCAGGACCUGGAUAUUGGAAAAAAAUCAAAUACUAUUUGGCAUGGUGCAUUCAGGUGACCUUAAGUAUGACUCAGAUGACCUGCAGACCUGUCUGUGCGACCAGGUUUAACCUUCCCACCUUUCUGAGAAAAUGAGCCUAGUGCUAAGUCACUAGUCACUAUAUCUGCCCAUUUCUCUUUCUUGACUAUUAAGAGUUAGUGCAUCCUCAAGGAUAAAACACUGAACCCACAAUCAGAGCUCCAGGGUCCUGCAGCAGGCCCGCUGCCUGUGAACAGGUUCUCUAGGCAUGUCUCUUGUGUAGAGGUCUCCUCUGGACAAGUUCUCUUCUGGUCCUUGGUUACUCAUUCCCUGUGAAAUGUCCCCACAUGUUUCAGAGUGAGAUCCUUUGUGCUGUCAACUUGACAAAAUCUAGAAUCCCCUGAGAGCCAGACCUCUGAGCAUGUCUAUGGGGGAUUUUCUUGACUGUGUUAAGUGGGAAGAUCACCCACCGUGGGUAGCGCCAACCCCUGGCUAGGAUUCUGGGCUGUGCAAUAGGUACGUAUUCAUCUCUCUCUGCUUCCUGUUUGGAAAUGUGUGACCAGCUGCUUCAGGCUUCUGCAAGCUUGACUCCAUUCUUGACCUAUGAGCUAAAAUAAACCCGUUCUUAAGUUGCUUUGUCA
Long non-coding RNA from Rattus norvegicus (Norway rat), 3553 nucleotides. RefSeq lists it as uncharacterized. NCBI's taxonomy places the organism in Eukaryota, Metazoa, Chordata, Mammalia, Rodentia, Muridae. The record is from RefSeq and is a predicted model, not a curated record.